Molecule: long non-coding RNA, 1032 nt
Organism: Cephus cinctus (wheat stem sawfly)
Lineage: Eukaryota; Metazoa; Arthropoda; Insecta; Hymenoptera; Cephidae
Exons: 2
Source: RefSeq, a predicted model, not a curated record
GGAAAGUUUUCCUUCAGGAAUAACAUACAGAGAACUUGUCUUCCUGGAGUGAUUCCUUCUGCUCAUCAAGGACAGCGAACCGUCUGCCAGCGAUCCCAGUUUACUCAUUCUGAAAAAUAACGAGUGUACACGUCGAACUCGCCCAGCAACGAGGACAAAGUUCAUCAGUCUACAUCACGUACUAUCGAUUCACAUAUGAACAUCGUACCAACUAUUCAAGAUAUCAAACAACAACAAGUCUCAAUUAUAUAGUAAUUAAAGCAGUUACAAGUGGUUGAGUCAAGACAGCACGCGUCAGACUGACUUUUUUUUCUUAUCGCGUUAUCAGUGAAAUUACUUCAGACGUAUGAAUUUUCAAAAUUCAUUUCUCCCCUAACGUACGAUUCACAUAUAACUCGCUCGUGUUAUUUAUAGUCAUAUCCACACAUUAUCCCGUCAUAUCCAUACGUCCAGGUAUAACACGACAAGACUUAUCUCGAUUAAUACAUAUAAACUCCGACUAAUUAAUCCAAUUACGAAAACGCAGAAUAUUACUUCGUUAAAUAGAAAUUCGUGCAGCCUAAAAUAAUCCCAUAGGAAUCAGUCUCUAAUCGUAUUCCGAUGAUGUGUACCUGCAUGUAUGAAACUACCACCAAAAGUUAACAUGGAAUUGAUUAGGCACCGAUGUUGAACUACGAUCGGACUUAGUACUUUGAUGGCUGUACGUCAUCGCGUUAUAAUAAGCAUACAUUCAAGCCAGGAAAUCAAUUUGAAUUCAAGAGGCCAACCCCUUACGGUUUACAACGUACAAGAGUCCCUCGAAUAUGAAACUCAUGACGUGAAGCAGUUUUAUGAGUUAAACAAAAACAAACUAAAUGUUCUCGUUAAAAUUGUACUUGUCCACAAGUGAAAUACAUUUUUGAAGGGCCAUGUUCUUAUGACUUUUAAAGUAAAUGUAUUCCCUAGGCAAAAUCUUUUACUCGUGGAACAUGUAUAAAUAUACACAAAAACUUACUUGAAUCCUGUUAAUAAAUAAUGCUCCGAUGUCUUAUA